Molecule: long non-coding RNA, 1569 nt
Organism: Oncorhynchus gorbuscha (pink salmon)
Lineage: Eukaryota; Metazoa; Chordata; Actinopteri; Salmoniformes; Salmonidae
Exons: 4
Source: RefSeq, a predicted model, not a curated record
AGUUUCAGGGUUUAUCGAAAUCCCAAUUAGGCGUGUCUGGGACUAAUAGAAAAGGAAAAAAGUGAUGUUGUGGAGUUGAGACUGGAGAAGAUUGUUUCCUGAAACUCUCCUUGACUUGAGCUGCAACGACCACAUUCCAGUCUGCUUAUAGAGGUGACUACUGUUCUGACCCUUCAGGGUUUAUAGAGGGGACUACUGUUCUGACCCUUCAGGGUUUAUAGAGGUGACUACUGUUGGACUGUUCUGACCCUUCAGGGUUUAUAGAGGGGACUACUGUUCUGACUCUUCAGGGUUUAUAGAGUUGACUACUGUUCUGACUCUUCAGGGUUUAUAGAGGUGACUACUGUUCUGACUCUUCAGGGUUUAUAGAGGUGACUACUGUUACUCUUCAGGGUUUAUAGAGGUGACUACUGUUCUGACUCUUCAGGGUUUAUAGAGGUGACUACUGUUCUGACUCUUCAGGGUUUAUAGAGGUGACUACUGUUCUGACUCUUCAGGGUUUAUAGAGGUGACUACUGUUCUGACCCUUCAGGGUUUAUAGAGGUGACUACUGUUGGACUGUUCUGACCCUUCAGGGUUUAUAGAGGUGACUACUGUUCUGACCCUUCAGGGUUUAUAGAGGUGACUACUGUUCUGACUCUUCAGGGUUUAUAGAGGGGACUACUGUUCUGACUCUUCAGGGUUUAUAGAGGUGACUACUGUUCUGACUCUUCAGGGUUUAUAGAGGUGACUACUGUUCUGACUCUUCAGGGUUUAUAGAGGUGACUACUGUUCUGACUCUUCAGGGUUUAUAGAGGUGACUACUGUUCUGACUCUUCAGGGUUUAUAGAGGUGACUACUGUUCUGACUCUUCAGGGUUUAUAGAGGUGACUACUGUUCUGACUCUUCAGGGUUUAUAGAGGUGACUACUGUUCUGACUCUUCAGGGUUUAUAGAGGUGACUACUGUUCUGACUCUUCAGGGUUUAUAGAGGUGACUACUGUUCUGACUCUUCAGGGUUUAUAGAGGUGACUACUGUUCUGACUCUUCAGGGUUUAUAGAGGGGACUACUGUUCUGACUCUUCAGGGUUUAUAGAGGUGACUACUGUUGGACUGUUCUGACUCUUCAGGGUUUAUAGAGGGGACUACUGUUCUGACUCUUCAGGGUUUAUAGAGGUGACUACUGUUCUGACUCUUCAGGGUUUAUAGAGGUGACUACUGUUCUGACUCUUCAGGGUUUAUAGAGGUGACUACUGUUCUGACUCUUCAGGGUUUAUAGAGGUGACUACUGUUCUGACUCUUCAGGGUUUAUAGAGGUGACUACUGUUCUGACUCUUCAGGGUUUAUAGAGGUGACUACUGUUGGACUGUUCUGACCCUUCAGGGUUUAUAGAGGGGACUACUGUUCUGACUCUUCAGGGUUUAUAGAGGGGACUACUGUUCUGACUCUUCAGGGUUUAUAGAGGUGACUACUGUUCUGACUCUUCAGGGUUUAUAGAGGUGACUACUGUUCUGACUCUUCAGGGUUUAUAGAGGUGACUACUGUUCUGACUCUUCAGGGUUUAUAGAGGGGACUACUGUUCUGACUCUUC